Molecule: ribosomal RNA, 162 nt
Filed under: Bacillus altitudinis
Lineage: Bacteria; Bacillati; Bacillota; Bacilli; Caryophanales; Bacillaceae
Description: partial 23S ribosomal RNA
Rfam family: Bacterial large subunit ribosomal RNA
Source: RNAcentral
AAGUGCUGAAAGCAUCUAAGCAUGAAGCCCCCCUCAAGAUGAGAUUUCCCAUUCCGCAAGGAAGUAAGAUCCCUGAAAGAUGAUCAGGUUGAUAGGUCUGAGGUGGAAGCGUGGUGACACGUGGAGCUGACAGAUACUAAUAGAUCGAGGACUUAACCUAUA